CCUACGGGAGGCUGCAGUGAGGAAUAUUGGUCAAUGGGCGUAAGCCUGAACCAGCCAAGUCGCGUGAGGGAUGAAGGUUCUAUGGAUCGUAAACCUCUUUUAUAAGGGAAUAAAGUGUGGGACGUGUCCUGUUUUGUAUGUACCUUAUGAAUAAGGAUCGGCUAACUCCGUGCCAGCAGCCGCGGUAAUACGGAGGAUCCGAGCGUUAUCCGGAUUUAUUGGGUUUAAAGGGUGCGUAGGCGGCCUUUUAAGUCAGCGGUGAAAGUCUGUGGCUCAACCAUAGAAUUGCCGUUGAAACUGGGAGGCUUGAGUGUGCUUGAGGUAGGCGGAAUGCGUGGUGUAGCGGUGAAAUGCUUAGAUAUCACGCAGAACCCCGAUUGCGAAGGCAGCCUGCCGGGCCAUGACUGACGCUGAUGCACGAAAGCGUGGGGAUCAAACAGGAUUAGAUACCCCAGUAGUC
RNAcentral lists this ribosomal RNA (460 nucleotides) under uncultured bacterium. RNAcentral's name for it is "partial 16S ribosomal RNA". It matches the Rfam family "Bacterial small subunit ribosomal RNA", at positions 338 to 795 of the family's 1533-position model. The record is from RNAcentral.